CGUGCCACAUAAGGGGGUGGGCCCCUCAUGCAAUAUCCAUCGGAUUGGCACCCCAUGGUCCUGCCAAAAAUAAAGAUAGGCGCCACCUAUUCUUUCCAUUUAUUCCACACACCACUUAGAGAUAAUUAGGAGAUAAUGUAGAGAUAAUAAGGAGAUAAUCCAUACCAACUCAUUGACAUAAUCCAAUCUUCUUGGGGUCAUAAUUAAGUGCCUAAUUAAAUCCAAAUGGAUUUAGAUCAGGUUCAAAGCUAUGGACUUGAUCCAAUCAAAGUCCCGAGAAGAAUGUGGUUUAACCAUGUGCUAGCAUGGUUCUAUUAAAACCCAAUAGGAUUUCAAUAAAUCCUAAUCUAAUUAGAACUUCAUAAGCUCAAUUGGCAAAUUUAAGAUUAAAUCCUCAAUGUGUGACCCCAUAGGUUUCAUUCUAUCUGAUAGUGAGAUA
This 439-nucleotide long non-coding RNA is filed under the name Elaeis guineensis (African oil palm). RNAcentral describes it as "long non-coding RNA (EGUI_LNC047310)". The record is from RNAcentral. Lineage: Eukaryota; Viridiplantae; Streptophyta; Magnoliopsida; Arecales; Arecaceae.